AAAAGAUGUGUAAAUACUGAACGUGUUAUUGUUUGUGCAGCUUUCGCGAUGUAUUUGUUUGUUUCAGAUAUAUAAACAGUUUUUGGGGAUUCAAUUUCAUUCGCAGAGGAACAACGCAAGGAAGCGAUCCAAAAAAAACCACCAUGAAGUUCUUUAUGAUUGCAUCGUUGACUCUAUUGGUCGUGAUGGCUGUUGACUCCACGGAUUACGAAUCUGAGAAAUCCAAGGGCCUUGGCGUAGGUCUGGGCGUAGGUGUGGCUAAGAGUGAAUAUGAAAAAUAUGGGCACGGCAAUGAUGGUGCUAAAAAUAAUGGAGGCGGUGGUGUUGGCGGUGGUAAAUGGUCCCCGGGCUGGUAGUGGUUCUGGGGGUCCUGGAGGCAAUGGUACUGGAGCAGGCGCUGGCAGUGGCUCUGGUUAACUGUUUAAUUAAAUCUCUGGUUUAUUAAUAAACAUUUCCAUUUACUUA
Molecule: unclassified non-coding RNA, 465 nt
Filed under: Melitaea cinxia (Glanville fritillary)
Lineage: Eukaryota; Metazoa; Arthropoda; Insecta; Lepidoptera; Nymphalidae
Description: misc RNA ENSMCXG00005020938.1
Source: RNAcentral